Molecule: ribosomal RNA, 253 nt
Filed under: uncultured bacterium
Lineage: Bacteria
Description: partial 16S ribosomal RNA
Rfam family: Bacterial small subunit ribosomal RNA
Source: RNAcentral
UACGUAGGGGGCAAGCGUUAUCCGGAUUUACUGGGUGUAAAGGGAGCGUAGACGGCAGGGCAAGUCUGGAGUGAAAGGCAGGGGCCCAACCCCUGGACUGCUCUGGAAACUGUCCGGCUGGAGUGCAGGAGAGGUAAGUGGAAUUCCUAGUGUAGCGGUGAAAUGCGUAGAUAUUAGGAGGAACACCAGUGGCGAAGGCGGCUUACUGGACUGUAACUGACACUGAGGCUCGAAAGCGUGGGGAGCAAACAGG